UGACAAAAUGAACUAAUUGAAUUCAACGAAGCUUCAUCGAUCAUCACUCGAAAGCUUCUUCUCCGAUCAACAAUGUCGCCGAUCUUCAAUCUUUAAGAUUUUCCCUAUGCUCUGAUACCAUAAUGAGAGAAAGUGGGGAAAUUUCUUCUAUAUUGAAUGAAUGAAUCAGUGUAUGUACAUGUACAUUUAUAUAUAGAUGUAACCGACUAAUCUAAUAUCUAACAGUGACGAAUUAACUCUAACAGAUUAGCUAACUAACUAACUAUUAACAACUAACUAAUGGACAGCUGUACACAUGUGUUGAUCACGUGA
RNAcentral lists this long non-coding RNA (312 nucleotides) under Solanum tuberosum (potato). RNAcentral describes it as "long non-coding RNA (STUB_LNC011767)". Lineage: Eukaryota; Viridiplantae; Streptophyta; Magnoliopsida; Solanales; Solanaceae. The record is from RNAcentral.